RNAcentral lists this ribosomal RNA (470 nucleotides) under uncultured bacterium. RNAcentral's name for it is "bacterial SSU rRNA". It matches the Rfam family "Bacterial small subunit ribosomal RNA", at positions 915 to 1391 of the family's 1533-position model. The record is from RNAcentral.
GGGGACCCGCAAGCGGUGGAUGAUGUGGAUUAAUUCGAUGCAACGCGAAAAACCUUACCUACCCUUGACAUGGCAGGAAUCCCCGAGAGAUCGGGGAGUGCUCGAAAGAAAACCUGCACACAGGUGCUGCAUGGCUGUCGUCAGCUCGUGUCGUGAGAUGUUGGGUUAAGUCCCGCAACGAGCGCAACCCUUGUCAUUAGUUGCUACGAAAGGGCACUCUAAUGAGACUGCCGGUGACAAACCGGAGGAAGGGGGGGAUGACGUCAAGUCCUCAUGGCCCUUAUGGGUAGGGCUUCACACGUCAUACAAUGGUACAUACAGAGGGCCGCCCACCCGCGAGGGGGAGCUAAUCCCAAAAAGUGUAUCGUAAUCCGGAUUGUAGUCUGCAACUCCACUGCAUGAAGUUGGAAUCGCUAGUAAUCGCGGAUCAGCAUGUCGCGGUGAAUACGUUCCCGGGUCUUGUACACACC